AAAUCGAUUUUGAAUGAUUACUUUUAUAAUCUUUUCCAUCUUGGAAGAGGUAUUUAGUUAUUUGAGAAAGAACCGAACUACCUUCUGAAAGGAAUACCAUACAUUUUACAAUAGCAGUGAGUAUGGUAUGUUAAUUUCUCAUAUGCUUCUUGUAUGAUAGUUAGUCGAAAUGUAUUGGAGAUAAUGUUGAAGAAGUAAAUAGUAAAAAAUGCGCAUGCAUGCUUGACUCCAUUUGUUCUACAGUACUUUACCCUUGCUAUGAUAUAAAUUCAAAGUAUCGGUUUAAACAGACGAAACCAAUAAGGGUUUAAACUCACAUGGGUUUUUGAAGGAAGAUGAGUCUACAAUGUAAACUAUUCAACUCUUAAAUAACACUUUUUGAUAAAUCGCGAUAUAGCCAAAAACUAGAAGAACCCUAAGUAACUUCUUCUUAUUAAGGUAUAAAACAAGUUUUCUACAUUGCGAAUAACGAAUAGAGAUGAAUGCAUUAAUUCUAACAUUGAAAAUAAUAUAGUCGAUCCUUUGGAUUCCAAAUAAAUUAUGAAAACCAUUUAAAUCAUUAAUUAAAAAUAAAUUAUGAGAUGGAUGCAAUAAAAACCUGAAAUUAAUCAAUAACCUUGAACCAUCUUUGUAGGUGCCUUCCCUAAAAAGAAAUCUAUUAAUGGAAAAUUGCUCAACAGCACUAACGGAAUUAAACCUGCAAGCAUACCAAAUUCUGAGCUAGACUCAAUGUAACCCAAUUUCUUCAUCUCCGACAGUGCAGCCACCUCAAGUUUUUCGCUCACAGCUUGUUUAUCCCUACAGCCUAAAAACAUGGUUAUACUCUUUUCUGUCUCGAAAGAAGGGGUCAAGGUUGCAGGUUGAAUAAGUUCAUGAAGACAACUCAAAAGUGAGUUUAAAUUUCCAAAUUUUACUACAUUAAUCCUCGACCGAACACUAUCUGUUACAUCAGAUAAUCUCAAAUCGAGUUUCGUAUGUGUUUGAGAAGGAAUAAAGGUCUGAGAAUGCUGGUCUGUUGUAAAUCCGUUUGGCUUAGUUAUUUUUCGAAUGUUUUUUCGAAGUUUCGGCCAUACCUUAAAAGCUGAGUCAUUAUGCUUGCUUAACAGCACUUCACUUGUGUAAACGACAUUAGGCAAUGACGUCGCAUAAUCAUCUUUAUAGAAUUCAUCAUAUGUGUAAAUAUAGGCUAUACUCGUCUCUUCAUACAAAAACUUAAGUAAAAGCUCCAAUGCAAUUAAAUCAUUUUCAGUACCCAAAUAUAUGAGAAUUACAACCUUGCUUCUUUCAUAUGUAGAGCCUUUUUCUUUCACACUAAUCUCAACCUGAUCAAAGGACUUCUUGUCCUUUUCUAAUUGUUCAAAAUCAUUCUUCGGUGAACCAUACUCAGUACUACGUAUGAUAGGCCUAAUUUUUUUCACUGAUAAAUUGUGAGGAUUACGUGUGAAAAAUACUCCAACUGGGAUCCGGGCCAUCUUUAUUAAAGGAAUCAACUCAUCCAAAGAUUUAAAAGAAUCACCCAAAGCUAAGCGGAUGGAACUCAAAGACAGAGGAGAAGAAGAGCUCUCAUUCUCAAUUGUUUUAUAAUCCUUCAAAUAGGGCAUGAUCAAAAUGUUUGAAGAAGACUUCUUCAACGUCUCAAGAACCACAUUGUAAUAACCAGUUCCACUCACUAGCAAGGCAUUGCUUUCGUACUCAAAUUUUUUUAUUUUUACAAACGUUUCAAACAAUCCCAUUAGUGCUUCAUUUUCAACCUUAUUAUCGACCUGUGAGGCCCUCAAUAGAUUUGAAGUACGAGAAUCAACAAAAAGUGUCCAAAUACUAUGAAUAAUUAUUUGAGGCAGAUGUAGACAGCCACUCACUUUAUCACGGUUCUCAUAAAUAUGUUGUAUAAAUAUCAUAGCAGCAGAAGCAUCCAAUGGAUGAUUGAUUAAAAAGGAGAGUCGAGUCGGCAAUUCUGGAAGAUACUGCACAAGCUCUUCGGAACUUUCAAUAGAAUUGUCAUCAUGUUCACUUUUAGUGAACCGCAGAAAGAAUUUAGUCAUAGGGGUGGUGACAAAUGUCGUUAUAACAGCCAUAAACACAAACAUGGAGAAAAUUGUUUCAUUCAAUAUUCCAGUUGAGAGACCGAUGUUCAAAACAAUCAAUUCAACAAGGCCCUUACAUGACAUUAACGAUCCAACGACUAGUGAAUCCGACCAUGGCAUUUUGAGAAUCCGAGCAGCAAGCAUACUAGAUCCCAUUUUAGAAGCUAUGGCAACACAUAUUGUUCCAAUCGUGUAUCCCCAUAUUUUCCCAGUGUUAAGCGUAGAAAUAUUUGUCUUCAAUCCUGAACUAGCAAAGUAAAGUGGUAGAAACAAACAAUUUACUAAAUCUUCUAUCUUUUCUGUGAUCUUAACGGUUAAAUCGUUUUCAUGGGGUAUAAUGGUACCGACAAGAAAACCACCGAAAAUUGGAUGAAUGCCGAUAAUGUCGGUGAAGAAAGCAGAAACAAGGACCAUUGAUAAAACAAUGCAUAUAAAAGACUCAGAUGGUUUAUCCUUUAAGGACCUGGUUUUAACUGCUAAUAAGUAUACAAGCGGUUUUAUCGCUAUGAAAAGAAAAAGGCACCACCCCAAAGCGAGCAGUAGUAUAUAUACAGCUCGAACACCGGAGCCACUAUUUACCAAAGUAACUGACAAUGCUAAUAAAAUCCAGCCGAUAACAUCGUUACCAAUGCCAGCACUAAGAACGAUUACGCCGACCCGUUUAUGUAAUAAGUGCAAUUCUGAAAGGAUGCGGGCCAGCACAGGAAAAGCGGUAAUUGACAUAGCUGUGCUAAUAAAAAGUAGAAAUUUACCAAAUUCAAAUUCUCUAGUUGUAAAUUUGUAUAGGCCUGCGGAUAUUCCAGCUCCAGCCCCAAAAGGAAUGACAAUACUGAAGACCGUCACCAGAAGAGUCACUUUGUAAUUUAAAACAAGGACACGAAGAUCAACCUCCAUUCCUAUAACAAAAAGAAAGAGUACCAAACCAAGAUUAGAAACCAAGUUAAGUGGACCCAUAGAACUAGUUGGAAAAAUGUAAUCCAAAAACUUUGGAAUCCUACCCAUCACAGUAGGACCAAGCACAAUUCCACCUAUACUGUUGUUCUGUUAACAACUAUAGAAACCAAAAAGUAGGUACAGGAAGCUUCUCUUUUUCGAGUGAUAAGAAAUACUGCCCUGAUUGACAACUUUCUUAUCGUGCCAAUCUGAGAAAUUAUAAAACAUCUAUUAACUUUUUAAAAGCUUCUUUCUUACUUCCGAUAUCACUUACAUCUCCGCAAUUACUCUUGGCUGCUGUAGAAAAGACAGAGGAAUAUGAAUCAGUCGACAUAAUGCAAUAAUAAUGAUUGCCUAAAGUUGUUAUUAUAAAAUUUCCCAUUAAAUGAGACAUACCUGUACGAUGAACAAAAGCAAUGGGUCCGAUGCACUGUAGACAACGACAUUAUCGCCGUCAAAUAUGCUUUGCGUUGACAUGCCUAACAGCGGAUUAGUUGUUAUAUGAACAAACCGAUUGAUAUUUGAAAUAUAGUCAUUGAUGCACCUACUGCUAUAUUCGAUUAUAUGCGAGUUAAGAUAACUUCAAUCGACUUAAGUUUGCAAUUUUUUAUGAACCCUAACACACAUUGCAUAUAGUAAUGGCGAGGUGCUAGUUGCUUAGUGGUAAGUUUUUACAGCAAUAUACCCUCGUGUUUUUAGCGAAUAAAAAAUUGAGACUUAUUAACAUGCUAUGAGUUUAAUUUAUUUUAGGUAAUGUAAGUUGUGAGACACAAACGGAACCUUCAAAUUUAAAAACUGACAAACACCGUCUUAGGGACGGCGAACUCGGGUACCAAUUUUAUAAGUGUAGCGGAUUUACUAAUAGAAAGCAGAAACCUAUUGAAUAUUUUUUAAUAAAUGCAGUACUUUUUGAUGAACCGUCAUGGUUCCUUUCCUCUAAUAUGAGCGAUUGUUAAAAGUACCCCACAAAACUUUCAUAUAAGAUACUCGAAAUUAUUUAAACGUGUAUAAAUUUUAUAUUGCUUCUCUAAAAAAUAAAAGAAAAUUGAAAAUAUUAACAUUAGCAGCAUAUCAGAAGAAACAAGAAAAAGUAAUCUUUAGAAUACGACACAAAUCUGCAAGCAAUUAAGGUAUUACAGAAAUCCAUAAAAAAUUCCAAAUCCUAAUUAAUGCCAAAUUUUCUAAUACAGACUUGUUUAUCGACACCCAAAAGAAAGUGUUACUUGUAACAACGAUUUCGAUUUUUUUCAAUAAAGUAUCGAGAAAAGCAGCAUAAUCGGAAUGAAUAUGCUAACGUUUUAAAAAAACUAUAGCAUAUUCAUUGGAUGAGGUUAUAAAGGGCUAAAAGUUAACAUACAGCCUACGGCCUGUGACGUUGUCAAAAGUUGCGCAGUGAAAUUUUAAAGCCGCAUUUAGGUAUCUAAGGAGUAGAACACAUCGUUCUCUGGAGCGUCUAUGAAAGAAUGAACAAACAACAAACAUAAUACUGGAUUGCAGCUGAAAGGAAAGCUAAAGCGUCCAAUGGAAUUUCAAUACACUGAGAAGCAGCCAAAAUCAUAACUUACAACUUUCGCAAUUAAGGAGAAAGAAAUCGAAUAAUCCCCAAGAAUGACAAAUAUUUUAUCGUUAAUAUAACCCACAUCUCUUACAAAACGUGUAUUUCUCAAAAUCCAAACAGAAGAAGAACAACAGGGAAGCCGAAUCAAGAAUAUCUAAAGGGGAACUAUUCUUCAUCCGACUCACCGGAUCCUUCUUCUUCAUCGUCAUCGUCAGCAACGACAUCUGCAGAAUAUUGAAGAGCAGGCGCAGGUCCUUCUAAUGCAGAAGCAAAGACAUCGUGAAAGUCUCCUGGAACAAGGUCAAUUGGUCGAAAACCAUCGUUGUUGGUAAGAAGCGGAUCGGCACCAACCUCCAUAAGCAUCUCCACUAUAAUGAAACAAUAGUUAGACAAAUACACUCAACAAAGCAAACACUAUAAACUAUCCCGAAGCAAA
Schizosaccharomyces pombe (fission yeast) is the source of this 5011-nucleotide non-coding RNA. The record is from the annotation of a GenBank genome assembly. Lineage: Eukaryota; Fungi; Ascomycota; Schizosaccharomycetes; Schizosaccharomycetales; Schizosaccharomycetaceae.